RNAcentral lists this transfer RNA (77 nucleotides) under Acidaminococcus sp. CAG:917. RNAcentral describes it as "transfer RNA-Pro(TGG)". It matches the Rfam family "tRNA". From Rfam's summary of the family: Transfer RNA (tRNA) molecules are approximately 80 nucleotides in length. Their secondary structure includes four short double-helical elements and three loops (D, anti-codon, and T loops). Further hydrogen bonds mediate the characteristic L-shaped molecular structure. tRNAs have two regions of fundamental functional importance: the anti-codon, which is responsible for specific mRNA codon recognition, and the 3' end, to which the tRNAs corresponding amino acid is attached (by aminoacyl-tRNA synthetases). tRNAs cope with the degeneracy of the genetic code in two manners: having more than one tRNA (with a specific anti-codon) for a particular amino acid; and 'wobble' base-pairing, i.e. permitting non-standard base-pairing at the 3rd anti-codon position. The record is from RNAcentral. Lineage: Bacteria; Bacillati; Bacillota; Negativicutes; Acidaminococcales; Acidaminococcaceae.
UGGGGUGUGGCUCAGCUUGGUAGAGCGUCUGCUUUGGGAGCAGAACGUCGCAGGUUCAAAUCCUGUCACCCCAACCA